RNAcentral lists this ribosomal RNA (383 nucleotides) under uncultured eukaryote. Its description in RNAcentral is "partial 18S ribosomal RNA". It matches the Rfam family "Eukaryotic small subunit ribosomal RNA", at positions 592 to 976 of the family's 1831-position model. The record is from RNAcentral.
CAAUAGCGUAUAUUAAAGUUGUUGCAGUUAAAAAGCUCGUAGUUGGAUUUCUGGUGGGAGCGAUCGGUCUGGCGCUUAGCGCGAGUACUUGCAUCGUCUCCGGCCAUCCUUGGGGGGAGUCUGUCUGGCAUUAAGUUGUCGGGCAGAGGAUCCUCAUCGUUUACUGUGAAAAAAUUAGAGUGUUCAAAGCAGGCUUAUGCCGUUGAAUAUAUUAGCAUGGAAUAAUAAGAUAGGACUUUGGUACUAUUUUGUUGGUUUGCGCACCAAAGUAAUGAUUAAUAGGGACAGUUGGGGGUAUUCGUAUUCCGUUGUCAGAGGUGAAAUUCUUGGAUUUACGGAAGACGAACUACUGCGAAAGCAUUUACCAAGGAUGUUUUCAUUAA